This 88-nucleotide non-coding RNA is filed under the name Xenorhabdus ehlersii. Lineage: Bacteria; Pseudomonadati; Pseudomonadota; Gammaproteobacteria; Enterobacterales; Morganellaceae. The record is from RNAcentral.
UUCAAUGGUGAUGCUAGCGGAGCUACCGAAAGGUAGGCUGGUUUCCGUGUGUGCCAGUAUUCUCACCUCUGUUAGCGUCACCACCCUU